AGUCACUGACAUUAGAUACCCCCUGUAGUCCAGGGUGUAAACGCUGCAGACUUGGUGUUGGGAACCCUUCGGGGGUGCUCAGUGCCGGAGAGAAGUUGUUAAGUCUGCUACUUGGGGAGUACGUCCGCAAGGAUGAAACUUAAAGGAAUUGGCGGGGGAGCACCGCAACGGGAGGAGCGUGCGGUUUAAUUGGAUUCAACGACCGAAAAACUCACCAGCAGCGACUGUUACAUGAAAGUCAGGUUGAUGACCUUACUAGAUUUUUCAG
RNAcentral lists this ribosomal RNA (268 nucleotides) under uncultured archaeon. RNAcentral's name for it is "partial 16S ribosomal RNA". It matches the Rfam family "Archaeal small subunit ribosomal RNA", at positions 718 to 982 of the family's 1478-position model. The record is from RNAcentral.